CCUACGGGAGGCAGCAGUGAGGAAUAUUGGUCAAUGGACGAGAGUCUGAACCAGCCAAGUAGCGUGAAGGAUGACUGCCCUAUGGGUUGUAAACUUCUUUUAUAUGGGAAUAAAAUGUUCCACGUGUGGGAUUUUGUAUGUACCAUAUGAAUAAGGAUCGGCUAACUCCGUGCCAGCAGCCGCGGUAAUACGGAGGAUCCGAGCGUUAUCCGGAUUUAUUGGGUUUAAAGGGAGCGUAGGUGGAUUGUUAAGUCAGUUGUGAAAGUUUGCGGCUCAACCGUAAAAUUGCAGUUGAAACUGGCAGUCUUGAGUACAGUAGAGGUGUGCGGAAUUCGUGGUGUAGCGGUGAAAUGCUUAGAUAUCACGAAGAACUCCGAGUGCGAAGGCAGUUCACUGGACUGCAACUGACACUGAGGCUCGAAAGUGUGGGUAUCAAACAGGAUUAGAUACCCCGGUAGUC
RNAcentral lists this ribosomal RNA (460 nucleotides) under uncultured bacterium. Its description in RNAcentral is "partial 16S ribosomal RNA". It matches the Rfam family "Bacterial small subunit ribosomal RNA", at positions 338 to 795 of the family's 1533-position model. The record is from RNAcentral.